GGGGGCUUGGCGGCCAGCCUUACACAUGCAGUCGAGCGGUAGCACAGGGGAGCUUGCUCCCCGGGUGACGAGCGGCGGACGGGUGAGUAAUGUCUGGGAAACUGCCUGAUGGAGGGGGAUAACUACUGGAAACGGUAGCUAAUACCGCAUAACGUCGCAAGACCAAAGAGGGGGACCUUCGGGCCUCUUGCCAUCAGAUGUGCCCAGAUGGGAUUAGCUAGUAGGUGGGGUAAUGGCUCACCUAGGCGACGAUCCCUAGCUGGUCUGAGAGGAUGACCAGCCACACUGGAACUGAGACACGGUCCAGACUCCUACGGGAGGCAGCAGUGGGGAAUAUUGCACAAUGGGCGCAAGCCUGAUGCAGCCAUGCCGCGUGUGUGAAGAAGGCCUUCGGGUUGUAAAGCACUUUCAGCGAGGAGGAAGGUGGUGAGCUUAAUACGCUCAUCAAUUGACGUUACUCGCAGAAGAAGCACCGGCUAACUCCGUGCCAGCAGCCGCGGUAAUACGGAGGGUGCAAGCGUUAAUCGGAAUUACUGGGCGUAAAGCGCACGCAGGCGGUUUGUUAAGUCAGAUGUGAAAUCCCCGGGCUCAACCUGGGAACUGCAUUUGAAACUGGCAAGCUAGAGUCUCGUAGAGGGGGGUAGAAUUCCAGGUGUAGCGGUGAAAUGCGUAGAGAUCUGGAGGAAUACCGGUGGCGAAGGCGGCCCCCUGGACGAAGACUGACGCUCAGGUGCGAAAGCGUGGGGAGCAAAACAGGAUUAAGAUACCCUGGUAGUCCACGCUGUAAACGAUGUCGAUUUGGAGGUUGUGCCCUUGAGGCGUGGCCUUCCCGGAGGCUAACGCGUUAAAAUCGACCGCCCUGGGGGAGUACGGCCGCAAGGGUUAAAACUCAAUGAAUUGACCGGGGGCCCCCCACAA
RNAcentral lists this ribosomal RNA (918 nucleotides) under Serratia nematodiphila. RNAcentral describes it as "bacterial SSU rRNA". It matches the Rfam family "Bacterial small subunit ribosomal RNA", at positions 31 to 928 of the family's 1533-position model. Lineage: Bacteria; Pseudomonadati; Pseudomonadota; Gammaproteobacteria; Enterobacterales; Yersiniaceae. The record is from RNAcentral.